RNAcentral lists this ribosomal RNA (468 nucleotides) under uncultured bacterium. RNAcentral describes it as "partial 16S ribosomal RNA". It matches the Rfam family "Bacterial small subunit ribosomal RNA", at positions 28 to 507 of the family's 1533-position model. The record is from RNAcentral.
GACGAACGCUGGCGGCGUGCUUAACACAUGCAAGUCGAACGGAAAGGCCCUGCUUUUGUGGGGUGCUCGAGUGGCGAACGGGUGAGUAACACGUGAGUAACCUGCCCUUGACUUUGGGAUAACUUCAGGAAACUGGGGCUAAUACCGGAUAGGAGCUCCUGCUGCAUGGUGGGGGUUGGAAAGUUUCGGCGGUUGGGGAUGGACUCGCGGCUUAUCAGCUUGUUGGUGGGGUAGUGGCUUACCAAGGCUUUGACGGGUAGCCGGCCUGGGAGGGUGACCGGCCCCAUUGGGACGGAGAUGCGGCCCAGACUCCUACGGGAGGCAACGGUGGGGAAUAUUGCACAAUGGGCGGAGGCCUGAUGCGGCAACGCCGCGUGCGGGAUGACGGCAUUGGGGUAGUAAACCGCUUUCGCCUGUGACGAAGCGUGAGUGACGGUAAUGGGUAAAGAAGCACCGGCUAACUACGUG